UUAAAAGCGUUGAACAGGAAGAGUACAUUGACCCCCGCUUUCAGAGAGGAAAAUCGUUUGCUGAGAGAUUUUCCAAGCGAAGACGAUGGAAGGUCGCCUGCAGAGCUGUUUCCAUGAAAACAGUAGUGGAAACCGGUUAAAAGCCGUUAUCGUUCAUUGAGAGUUCAGGAGACAGUAUGACUUCUGAGAAAAAAGGUGGUACCGCGAAACGAAUCCUUCGUCCUUUUA
RNAcentral lists this non-coding RNA (228 nucleotides) under [Bacillus] enclensis. RNAcentral describes it as "Bacillus enclensis T-box sequence". It matches the Rfam family "T-box leader". From Rfam's summary of the family: Uncharged tRNA acts as the effector for transcription antitermination of genes in the T-box leader family. The record is from RNAcentral. Lineage: Bacteria; Bacillati; Bacillota; Bacilli; Caryophanales; Bacillaceae.